RNAcentral lists this ribosomal RNA (460 nucleotides) under uncultured bacterium. RNAcentral's name for it is "partial 16S ribosomal RNA". It matches the Rfam family "Bacterial small subunit ribosomal RNA", at positions 338 to 795 of the family's 1533-position model. The record is from RNAcentral.
CCUACGGGAGGCAGCAGUGAGGAAUAUUGGUCAAUGGUCGGGAGACUGAACCAGCCAAGCCGCGUGAGGGAUGAAGGUACAGAGUAUCGUAAACCUCUUUUGUCAGGGAACAAAGCCUGGGACGUGUCCCCUGAUGCGUGUACCUUACGAAAAAGCAUCGGCUAACUCCGUGCCAGCAGCCGCGGUAAUACGGAGGAUUCAAGCGUUAUCCGGAUUUAUUGGGUUUAAAGGGUGCGUAGGCGGUCGGAUAAGUUAGAGGUGAAAUCCCGAGGCUCAACUUCGGAAUUGCCUCUGAUACUGGUGGACUAGAGAGUAGUUGCGGUAGGCGGAAUGUAUGGUGUAGCGGUGAAAUGCUUAGAGAUCAGACAGAACACCGAUUGCGAAGGCAGCUUACCAGGCUACGUCUGACGUUGAGGCACGAAAGCGUGGGGAGCAAACAGGAUUAGAUACCCUGGUAGUC